CUUAUGCUGGGUGGUUUAUGCACAAAUUUGCUUGAAUUUAAAUUAUUUUAAAUAUCAGUGGAAUAAUUCUAUAAUUUAUCCUGUACAAUAACUUGAUUACAAUUUACAGCAUUUUCCACAACCGAAGGAUACAUUAUGCUGGAAAAAUAACCCCCCCAGAUCUUCAAUAAAGGAAAGAGACCUGAACAGAAUGCUGUAAUCACUAGCGUUACUUUCAACUAUGAGCAAUAGCAAAAGCAGAGCUGGUCGACUUGAAGAACUUUGCAAGCAUUAAUUAAUUAAGCCUUACAACAUCCAUGUGAGGGUGAAGCUCCGGGGCAUCUGUGAGUAACUAAGGAACACACUGGUAUCUUGCCAGGUAAAAGUAUAGAGCCCGUCGAACAUGGAGGGAAUGUAGUCAACAUUCUGCUGCAGAUGCAUGUGGUUUCAGAAAGAAAACAGGGAAACCAGAAGAAUGGAACCAAGACUCCCCAUGCAUGACUACGGCCAUAGCCAGGGGCCUGGAGGAGGUAUCUGCUGCAUCCACUGCCAAUUGGAGGGCCAUUCUGGCCACCAGCUUUCCUUCCUCAAUAAGCGCCUCAAAACAAGCCUAACCACGUUGUGGCAGGCUAUCAAUAAAUUCCUCUAAUUUACUGUAAUUCAGGAAGUCACAUUUGCCUAGUAAAGCCUGAUGAUUUGCAAUCCUGAAUUGCAGGCUAGACAAAGAAAAUACCUUGCUUCCCAAAAGAUCCAGAUGCUUGCCCUAUUUAUCAGCUGGCAUAGAUCAAGGGUGUUGUUUGGCUCACUCGGUCGCAGCCUGGACUACUAGGAAGUUCGGAGGAUGAUGAGAAAAAAGGAACUCAGAACCCUUGGAAGGAACAUAAUAGCACUUUUUGGCCCCUUUAGGGGUAGCUGUGCAUGUGGCAGAUGUGCGUCACGCUGUCCUGGCAGGCUCCAGAAUAGCUUUGUUAAUUGGUAAUGCAAUUCUCGCCAGACCUGACAUGUGGAAGAUAUCUAGCAGCUUGUGUUGGGGUUUUGAAUUUCUUCCAGGGGAAUCUGAAUCCGCAACAGGUCCUGAAAUUGUCUAAAGUAAUCCGGGGAGGAAGGGGAUGCUGUAGUCACUGCCUCAUCCGGAGAUGAAGAGGGAAAUCUUGCUGGUUUCAGUGGCAUUGCUGGAACUGGAGUAAAGGGUUCCUUCUUUACCACCAGAUUCAAACACCUGCCUGAAAGAUCCCUUAAAAGGGAGGCAGACAAAUGUUCCCUCAUAGAUCAGACAGGUUCCGAGGGGAGGUACUUGUGCCCAGUGUCCCCAGUAUGCCCAAUAGGGUGGUUCUGAGGGAGGUUGUGGGGGUCUCCAUGGCAUGGGGUACCAAUGAUUCUGAGGUGGUAGAUGCUGCCAUGGAUGUGACAGUAUCCAAGAAGGUGCAUAGGAAUGGUAUGACACAGGUGGUUCUCUCCGGUGGUUCUUCUGAUUCAUUGGAAGAGGAGAAGGCGGACUCUGGUUCCAAUGGCAAUACCGUCAGAGCUGGUGGAAAAGCAUAGCAUAUCUGUGCAGAGGAUGAGGGAUCCCGUACCGGAGGCAUAUCCCAGAGUGGAAAUAUGAUCUCUCUAGAAGUGGAGGGACCCAAUGGAGGGGGUGACUCUGGGUCCAGCAAUGCAAACACAUCUUGAGGUUUGGCCACAAUUCUGGAUCUCCCUGAAGUAAGAGGCACUCUCUUUUCUGGGCAUCAGUGCUGGCGAUGUGCUCUUUCCCAGAAUCUUGUGGGCUGAUGGUGCUGGUGGUAUUGAUGGAUUGGUGCUCAGAACUGCUGGAUCCCAUUGCUUGUGGGUCUUUUUCUCAUGUCUAUGGGACUUAGGUUAUGCUCUGUCCGCAUGCCUUCAACUUGUGGAAACAGCAUCCAUCAUCUUUGAUUUGGAGGAAGACUUAGUCCCAUGCUCAUGGAUGUGCUUCCUUACCUCCUGACUAGGCCCCGCCAUCGGGUCCAUGGGGGUGGUACUUUCAGCACUGGAUUUAGACAUGGUAGCUGGAGGCGCAUUCCUUGCUGAGUCAGGCCGAUGUACUGGGUGAGUUUCCUGGCAUGGGUCUGAGUACAGUCUCAUGGAGAGCUCCCUGAUGUGCUGCUGGAGGUGAAGAGCCUGGCCUUCUCAGGUGUGGCUGGGGAAGGACUGGCAAAUACUCUACCUGGAUGCAAUGUGAGCUUCCCCCAGGCAGUAGAGGCAAUGCUGGUGGCUGUUGCUGAUCAAGAAGGAGUGCAGGCAGGAGGUGCAGCGUUUGAAGCCUAGACUCCUGGGCAUAGUCCAGUACCUGCACAUGGGGUAGGGGAUUGAAAAUCCCCCAAAGUCUAUUUAAACGAAGUACUAAAAGUAUUGAGUAAUAAAAACUACAAUAAAAGUGGUAAAAUUA
Molecule: long non-coding RNA, 2383 nt
Organism: Chelonia mydas (Green sea turtle)
Lineage: Eukaryota; Metazoa; Chordata; Testudines; Cheloniidae
Exons: 4
Source: RefSeq, a predicted model, not a curated record